Molecule: long non-coding RNA, 781 nt
Organism: Hirundo rustica (Barn swallow)
Lineage: Eukaryota; Metazoa; Chordata; Aves; Passeriformes; Hirundinidae
Exons: 3
Source: RefSeq, a predicted model, not a curated record
GAAUAAAUGACACCAAUUUCUGUAAUGGAAAGAAAAAAAAAGAAAAAAGUGUAUAUUGGAAACUGCUGCUGAGUGACUCAUGCUGCCAGACAAACGGAACCUCACUCAUCACUCCAUCUUCAUCCUCCUCUGAAUGUUUUUCCAAAUUUCCACUGACAUAGAUUUGCAAGUUAUUAUUAUUGUCGUUACGAGUGGGAAGAGAGGUGAGGAUGCGCCAUGUGAAAGGAGGAAUAAGCCGGGCACAAUUCCGACUUAAAUAAAUGCUGCGUCAUAAAAGUAAAAAGGGUUACUUCUCCUUCCACCCUGAGAUGCCUUGAGUUUGACUGGGCGUGGAGUGAAAAUAGCCACGAAGGGUUGUGAUACUCUGUUCUUCUCUGCUUUUUGUGGUUGUGAUCAAUCCCAUGCCCUUUUUCAAUGCUCCCAGUUGUCCCCCUUAUCUUCCCAUUAUAACUUUUCCCUUUUUCUAGUGCCAUUUGCUGUCUCCAGCUCAGGCUUGCACAUCACACCAUCUGCAGAGCUGGAGGAGCUCCCGAGACACUGGGAAGGAGCAGUGGAAAGAGCAGAGGGUGGCCUGUGACAGCAGUUUGGGGUGGCCAGAAGCCAUCUGAGGAUGCAGGAAAACAGCACUGGGGCCACUCUGCCUGAGCAGUUCCUUGGGGCACACACAGAUACAAUGAGAUGUUGCUGGUGGCAGCAGCUGCAAGUCCCUGACCUGGUGGAGCUCAUCCUGUGCGCCUUCCCUCAUCUCCCAUCUUUCCCUGGGCACGAUGUCCCAGAGCCA